CGGCGCAUCGGUAGACGAGAGGCAGAGAGGUGGGUGCAACUGUAUAGUUCUGAUAUAAACACAGCAGCGAUUUUGAAUUUGGACGUUGAUUCGAGAAGAAGAGUGUAAAACGUGUAAUUUACAGAAUCGUCUGAAGACGUAUUCGGACUGUCCGUUCACGGAGGGCUGCCUUUGCACUCCCGAAAAUAUGGCCAGAGCCGGAUUCACCCACUGCCCCAAUGAAAACAGCCCCGAUGUGGCUCAGUGCUUCUUCUGCUACAAGGAGCUGGGAGCCUGAUGAGGUCCCUGUGUAAGUAAUGACAUGCAUCACUGGUUUCCAGUACAAGAUCCAGAUUGGCUUUUUAAAAAAACACACAACCAGUGUGAUGAGCCGAAGUGGAUGGUUACAACAGCUUCCGAAGAUAUGCAGUGUGUUACCCCCAGUCCAGUGUCCGUUUGUGGAAUAACUUCUUAUCACACAAUGUGCUUCAGUAGUGUUGCGCUGCUUUUGAAAUUGAGAAUUGCAUUGAAGAUCUGUGACUGUAAUGGGAGUUCCAGCCAUUCAAAAUCCCAUUUGAAGAAUGCUUUUGUCAUCUGAACUCAGGAAAGGAAUUGCGUUUCCAGACAGGAGCAUCAGCGUCAUUCUCCAGCUUCAUUUCAUUGCUCUGAAGAAGCUGGUUGAAGAACUGACCCUAAAGGAGCUCAUGAAGCUGCAGAAAGAGAGGCAGACGCUUCAGAUUAAAAAGACAACCAAUCAAACUCUAGAUAAAUUUGAGCCUGCUGCAAAAUCACGAAGACAAGAGUUGGAGAAACUGGCAACUGAAACAAGCUGAUUUUUACAGCUUUGAAUAAAUUCUCUUUUUAAUGUCUUCACCUGUGAUUUCCAUUUCAGCUCCAGAUUUUCGUGCGUGUGUGGCUUUUUUUUUCUUUGUAAAUAGCCGAACCAAGAAAGUUUUUGUAUAAUUUCUUUCUAUUUUUAAGGAAAAGGGGAGGAUUAAUACAAAAAUGAAUAUUUCAUAAUAAAAGCUCAAUCUCUUUAAACUUGUGAAGUCUGUUAUAAAGGAUUGCAAUUAGUGUAACACUUCUCUGGUCAAUGAGUAUUGUAGACACCUGAUAUACUUCAUUUCUCACCAAGUGCUUUGGAAACUUAUUUAUUUUAGUGUCCACUAGGAGGCAUUGCCACUUCACAGAAUCCAGAUGCCAAAUCAACCUGUAUGGGUUUUCUUAAGGGGCUGAUUUACUGAAAGACCUUCCACGCAUCAGAUUGAGCCAGCAAGCUGGAACAGCCUGCACAGUAAACCAGCACGUGGGUCAUUGCAGUAAUCUGUUUGUGUCAGUAUCUGCAAGUAUUUACCUUGUCCAUACAUCUCAAAUCUUAAGGAGGAACUCUUACUGUGAUGGUUGGGAUUAUCAGUAUCCAGUUGAAUGCAAAUAACGUCCAGACGCCAUUAAAAAUUAACGUAAGAAGAGAUGUGCCUACAGACCCGACUGCUGUGUGGUUUUGUAAUUAACGUUCAUUAAUUUUAUGUAUUGACAUUUUGGGAAAUACAUGUUAGUAUUCAAACAAUGGAUAACUGAAACGCCAGGGUUUUGAUUUAAUAUACCUGAAGGCCAUUUAUUCAGUCUGCAUUUGAGAGAAAUUGUUAUUGGUCUAUUCCACUGAGGUACAGCUUGCUAAUUAUGACUAACAGUGUUUUCGUACUGACCGUAAA
This is a long non-coding RNA of Polyodon spathula (Mississippi paddlefish), 1691 nucleotides long. RefSeq lists it as uncharacterized. NCBI's taxonomy places the organism in Eukaryota, Metazoa, Chordata, Actinopteri, Acipenseriformes, Polyodontidae. The record is from RefSeq and is a predicted model, not a curated record. The transcript is spliced from 3 exons.